This 497-nucleotide ribosomal RNA is filed under the name uncultured bacterium. Its description in RNAcentral is "partial 16S ribosomal RNA". It matches the Rfam family "Bacterial small subunit ribosomal RNA", at positions 28 to 507 of the family's 1533-position model. The record is from RNAcentral.
GAUGAACGCUGGCGGCGUGCCUAAUACAUGCAAGUCGAGCGAACAGAUAAGGAGCUUGCUCCUUUGACGUUAGCGGCGGACGGGUGAGUAACACGUGGGUAACCUACCUAUAAGACUGGGAUAACUUCGGGAAACCGGAGCUAAUACCGGAUAACAUUUGGAACCGCAUGGUUCUAAAGUGAAAGAUGGUUUUGCUAUCACUUAUAGAUGGACCCGCGCCGUAUUAGCUAGUUGGUAAGGUAACGGCUUACCAAGGCGACGAUACGUAGCCGACCUGAGAGGGUGAUCGGCCACACUGGAACUGAGACACGGUCCAGACUCCUACGGGAGGCAGCAGUAGGGAAUCUUCCGCAAUGGGCGAAAGCCUGACGGAGCAACGCCGCGGGAGUGAUGAAGGGUUUCGGAUCGUAAAACUCUGUUAUUAGGGAAGAACACAUGUGUAAGUAACUGUGCACGUCUUGACGGUACCUAAUCAGAAAGCCACGGCUAACUACGUG